RNAcentral lists this ribosomal RNA (469 nucleotides) under uncultured Bacteroidota bacterium. Its description in RNAcentral is "uncultured Bacteroidetes bacterium partial 16S ribosomal RNA". Lineage: Bacteria; Pseudomonadati; Bacteroidota. The record is from RNAcentral.
UAGCCCCAAUUACCGAUUUUACCCUAGGCGGUUCCUUGCGCGUUACCGACUUCAGGUCCCCCCGGCUUUCAUGGCUUGACGGGCGGUGUGUACAAGGUCCGGGAACGUAUUCACCGUAUCAUUGCUGAUAUACGAUUACUAGCGAUUCCAGCUUCAUGAGGGCGAGUUGCAGCCCUCAAUUCGAACUGAGAUAGGAUUUUUGAGAUUAGCAUCCUGUUACCAGGUAACAGCCCUUUGUUCCUACCAUUGUAACACGUGUGUAACCCUGGGCAUAAAGGCCAUGAUGACUUGACAUCAUCACCUCGUUCGUCAGGUCUUACGACGGCAGUUUCUUUAAAGUCCCCAACUUGACAUGUUCGGCCAACUAAAAAUAGGGGUUCAGCCUCAACAACACACCAAGACCAACACUAAACACAACAACUGGACUACAACAUCACCAACCUUUACAGUACUGUUAUAUACCCAACUG